Molecule: non-coding RNA, 224 nt
Organism: Cinara cedri
Lineage: Eukaryota; Metazoa; Arthropoda; Insecta; Hemiptera; Aphididae
Source: the annotation of a GenBank genome assembly
CUAGUUAUAAGCGGAAAUUCAACUCAAAUAAAUUCGACUUAUCGAGAAAUUCUAGUUGGUGAAAUCCGAAUUAUCGAGAAAAUUUAUCCCACGUUUCGUAUAUUGAAAUGCAAGGGCCAAGGCAUUCCUUCGAGUUGUCGAGUUUCCACUGCGUCUUGUUUUUACAAUAUUCGGAAAAAAAAAACUAUAAUAUAAAAAGUUUCCCGUGAUUGUCAAAUGGUUUA